Molecule: ribosomal RNA, 381 nt
Filed under: uncultured eukaryote
Lineage: Eukaryota
Description: partial 18S ribosomal RNA
Rfam family: Eukaryotic small subunit ribosomal RNA
Source: RNAcentral
CAAUAGCGUAUAUUAAAGCUGUCGCGGUUAAAAAGCUCGUAGUUGGAUUUCUGUCAAGGACAACUGGUCCGCCCUCCGGGUGAGCACAUAGUUUGGUCUUGACAUCUUGCUGGAAGCUGUUGCUGCACUUGGCUGUGUGGCGCAGUGUUCAGCACUUUCACUUUGAGGAAAUUGGAGUGUUUCAAGCAGGCACAUGCCUUUGGACACAGUAGCAUGGAAUAAUUAGAUUGGGCUUUUGCUCCAAUUUGUCGGUUUCUGGAGCUGAGGUGAGUAUUAAUGGGGAUUGUUGGGGGCAUCCGAAUUUAGCCGUCAGAGGUGAAAUUCUUGGAUCUGCUAAAGACGGACAACUGCGAAAGCGUUUGCCCAGGAUGUUUUCAUUGA